Molecule: microRNA, 22 nt
Filed under: Pristionchus pacificus
Lineage: Eukaryota; Metazoa; Nematoda; Chromadorea; Rhabditida; Neodiplogasteridae
Description: ppc-miR-8276-5p
Source: miRBase by way of RNAcentral
AUUGGCACUCUUUUUCUUUUUG